RNAcentral lists this ribosomal RNA (253 nucleotides) under uncultured bacterium. RNAcentral describes it as "partial 16S ribosomal RNA". It matches the Rfam family "Bacterial small subunit ribosomal RNA", at positions 524 to 776 of the family's 1533-position model. The record is from RNAcentral.
UACGUAGGGAGCAAGCGUUGUCCGGAAUCAUUGGGCGUAAAGCGCGCGUAGGCGGCCCGAUAAGUCCGCUGUGAAAGUCAACGGCUCAACUGUUGGAUGCCGGUGGAUACUGUCGGGCUAGAGUACGGAAGAGGCAAGUGGAAUUCCUGGUGUAGCGGUGGAAUGCGCAGAUAUCAGGAGGAACACCUAUAGCGAGGGCAGCUUGCUGGGACGUUACUGACGCUAAGGCGCGAAAGCGUGGGGAGCAAACAGG